AACGAACGCUGGCGGCAUGCCUAACACAUGCCAGUCGAACGAGACCUUCGGGUCUAGUGGCGCACGGGUGCGUAACGCGUGGGAACCUGCCCUUAGGUUCGGAAUAACUCCCCGAAAGGGGUGCUAAUACCGGAUAAUUUCUUCGGACCAAAGAUUUAUCGCCUUUGGAUGGGCCCGCGUUGGAUUAGCUAGUUGGUAGGGUAAAAGCCUACCAAGGCGACGAUCCAUAGCUGGUCUGAGAGGAUGAUCAGCCACACUGGGACUGAGACACGGCCCAGACUCCUACGGGAGGCAGCAGUGGGGAAUAUUGGACAAUGGGCGAAAGCCUGAUCCAGCAAUGCCGCGUGAGUGAUGAAGGCCUUAGGGUUGUAAAGCUCUUUUACCCGGGAUGAUAAUGACAGUACCGGGAGAAUAAGCGCCGGCUAACUCCGUG
This 433-nucleotide ribosomal RNA is filed under the name uncultured bacterium. RNAcentral describes it as "partial 16S ribosomal RNA". It matches the Rfam family "Bacterial small subunit ribosomal RNA", at positions 29 to 507 of the family's 1533-position model. The record is from RNAcentral.